RNAcentral lists this ribosomal RNA (420 nucleotides) under uncultured bacterium. RNAcentral's name for it is "bacterial SSU rRNA". It matches the Rfam family "Bacterial small subunit ribosomal RNA", at positions 356 to 773 of the family's 1533-position model. The record is from RNAcentral.
GAGGAAUAUUGGUCAAUGGGCGAGAGCCUGAACCAGCCAAGUAGCGUGAAGGAUGACGGCCCUAUGGGUUGUAAACUUCUUUUGCGGGAGGGUAAAGUGAGCCACGUGUGGCUUAUUGCAAGUAUCCCGCGAAUAAGGAUCGGCUAACUCCGUGCCAGCAGCCGCGGUAAUACGGAGGAUCCGAGCGUUAUCCGGAUUUAUUGGGUUUAAAGGGAGCGUAGGCGGGAGUUUAAGUCAGCUGUGAAAUGCCGUGGCCCAACCAUGGAUGUGCAGUUGAAACUGGGCUUCUUGAGUGUACAUAAGGAAGGCGGAAUUCGUGGUGUAGCGGUGAAAUGCAUAGAUAUCACGAAGAACUCCGAUUGCGAAGGCAGCUUUCCGGGGUACGACUGACGCUGAAGCUCGAAAGUGCGGGAAUCAAAC